Molecule: ribosomal RNA, 400 nt
Filed under: Bacillus subtilis
Lineage: Bacteria; Bacillati; Bacillota; Bacilli; Caryophanales; Bacillaceae
Description: bacterial SSU rRNA
Rfam family: Bacterial small subunit ribosomal RNA
Source: RNAcentral
CUAAUACAUGCAAGUCGAGCGGACAGAUGGGAGCUUGCUCCCUGAUGUUAGCGGCGGACGGGUGAGUAACACGUGGGUAACCUGCCUGUAAGACUGGGAUAACCCCGGGAAACCGGGGCUAAUACCGGAUGGUUGCCUGAACCGCAUGGUUCAGACAUAAAAGGUGGCUUCGGCUAUAACUUACAGAUGGACCCGCGGCGCAUUAGCUAGUUGGUGAGAAAACGGCUCACCAAGGCGACGUUUCGUAGCCGACCUGAGAGGGUGAUCGGCCACACUGGGACUGAGACACGGCCCAGACUCCUACGGGAGGCAGCAGUAGGGAAUCUUCCGCAAUGGACGAAAGUCUGACGGAGCAACGCCGGGUGAGUGAUGAAGGUUUUCGGAUCGUAAAGCUCUGUUG